GACGAACGCUGGCGGCGUGCUUAACACAUGCAAGUCGAACGCUGAAGCACCAGCUUGCUGGUGUGGAUGAGUGGCGAACGGGUGAGUAAUACGUGAGUAACCUGCCCUUGACUCUGGGAUAAGCCCGGGAAACUGGGUCUAAUACUGGAUGCUACAUGUCACCGCAUGGUGGUGUGUGGAAAGGGUUUACUGGUCUUGGAUGGGCUCACGGCCUAUCAGCUUGUUGGUGAGGUAAUGGCUCACCAAGGCGACGACGGGUAGCCGGCCUGAGAGGGUGACCGGCCACACUGGGACUGAGACACGGCCCAGACUCCUACGGGAGGCAGCAGUGGGGAAUAUUGCACAAUGGGCGAAAGCCUGAUGCAGCGACGCCGCGUGAGGGAUGACGGCCUUCGGGUUGUAAACCUCUUUCAGCAGGGAAGAAGCCACAAGUGACGGUACCUGCAGAAGAAGCGCCGGCUAACUACGUGCCAGCAGCCGCGGUAAUACGUAGGGCGCAAGCGUUGUCCGGAAUUAUUGGGCGUAAAGAGCUCGUAGGCGGUUUGUCGCGUCUGCUGUGAAAGCCCGGGGCUUAACCCCGGGUGUGCAGUGGGUACGGGCAGACUAGAGUGCAGUAGGGGAGACUGGAAUUCCUGGUGUAGCGGCGGAAUGCGCAGAUAUCAGGAGGAACACCGAUGGCGAAGGCAGGUCUCUGGGCUGUUACUGACGCUGAGGAGCGAAAGCAUGGGGAGCGAACAGG
RNAcentral lists this ribosomal RNA (739 nucleotides) under Kocuria palustris. RNAcentral describes it as "bacterial SSU rRNA". It matches the Rfam family "Bacterial small subunit ribosomal RNA", at positions 28 to 776 of the family's 1533-position model. The record is from RNAcentral. Lineage: Bacteria; Bacillati; Actinomycetota; Actinomycetes; Micrococcales; Micrococcaceae.